This is a long non-coding RNA of Alligator sinensis (Chinese alligator), 722 nucleotides long. RefSeq lists it as uncharacterized. The transcript has 3 exons. The record is from RefSeq and is a predicted model, not a curated record. Lineage: Eukaryota; Metazoa; Chordata; Crocodylia; Alligatoridae.
GGAGGAACUUAAAUGUAAGUACACAAGACCAAGUGUGUGAAAAAAGGCUGGCGUGAAGGGGUGAAGUUGCCUGCCCAAGGUCACACAGCACAGGUAGGAGCAGAGGCCACAUCAUGAAAACCCAGGCCUCCCUGCUUCAAACAGACAUAUAGUGCUCUUGCUCUUAUCCCUUCCUGCUUUCUGUACUUGCCCAAGAGCUGACAAAUCUCUUCUGAAGGUUUGGAUCUAUAACAGAUUAAUUUUUCUGUUCCAUCUCCUGGAGUGUAUGCAGUCCUCAAGUAUUGGACACUGCAUCUUGAAUGAGCCUACUACCUCAUGCUAUGAUAGUCUCUGGGUUUCAAAUUGGCAGAAAGGGUACGUAAAAAGUGUGUCCCAUUUGAAGACAAAUAGAAUCAGAGUGGAAUACCCGAAGCCUUUGUGUGUUGGAAUUGUUUUCACUCCAGGAGUGAAACACUGAAGCACUAUUCACUACGGUCUAUAGAUGCCUUUGCUAAAAGUGUGUAGAAGUUCUGCGGAGUGGUGUAAUUUCCAUUUCCAUUCCAACAGAGGUCCAAGAGAAUUGGGGCUGCUCUGCCUGUUAGAUAACUUCAGAGCGGUACUGAAUCAGGGUAGCUUUCAUCACCCAAAACCUACCAGUAAAAAUGCUCAUGUAAGAAAAGACCUGGAGUGGGACUUUUAGGUUUAGUUCCCGGCAUUCUUGGUCAAGGCAGAUGGGGCCAAAG